This 265-nucleotide ribosomal RNA is filed under the name uncultured archaeon. RNAcentral's name for it is "partial 16S ribosomal RNA". It matches the Rfam family "Archaeal small subunit ribosomal RNA", at positions 717 to 982 of the family's 1478-position model. The record is from RNAcentral.
ACACGACUACAUUAGACUACCGGGUAGUCCCAGCCCUAAACGAUGCGCGUUAGGUGUAUCGGUGACCACGAGUCACCGAGGUGCCGAAGGGAAACCGUGAAACGUGCCGCCUGGGAAGUACGGUCGCAAGGCUGAAACUUAAAGGAAUUGGCGGGGGAGCACCACAACGGGUGGAGCUUGCGGUUUAAUUGGACUCAACGCCGGGAAGCUCACCGGAUAAGACAGCGGAAUGACUGCCGGGCUGAAGACCCUGCAUGACCAGCUG